Molecule: long non-coding RNA, 1384 nt
Organism: Asterias rubens (European starfish)
Lineage: Eukaryota; Metazoa; Echinodermata; Asteroidea; Forcipulatida; Asteriidae
Exons: 5
Source: RefSeq, a predicted model, not a curated record
UCAUGCGACUAGAUAUGAUGAUCCCAAAUGCUAAACCAUCUAAACAUUUUUGUCUCCAAAAUGUAGAUCAUGUUUUCAGCCUGAGGUUGAUAAAGUAGUUUGUGAGCUGAAAUCUUUACUGGAGCUGAGGUGACGCAUACCGGGGACUUUGGUCAGGCAAAUUUGUUUUGAGCAGUCUGUUCUUAAGUUGUGAUAACAACCAGACCAGUUGGCAGUAUUGAUGGAGGAUAGGGGUGCAAGGAACCAACAUCAGACCACUUGCAAAUACUUUGGAGUUGACAUUCAACCAAUCUUGAGGCUAAUCAACACUUCUUGGACUGUGUGCCACCAGCUGAUCGAAGAACAACUGACUCUCUGCUUCAAGUGACAGAGGGAUGUAUUGAGGUGAACUACCACUUACGAAUCUAUGCUGCAAGCUGGAGACCUCCAUCACGGCCAGAUGACUCCCUACAUCCUUCAAGGAGUCUAGCUAGCAGAUCCCUGGUUUUCUUCUUCAGAUUGAGAUGAUGACCUUAGAAAUGACACUCGACCAAUCUUGAGGCUAAUCAACACGUUUUGGACUGUGUGCCACCAGCUGAAGAAUAACCGACUCUCCGCUUCAAGGUCACAGAGGGAUGUUCUGAAGCGUAAAACCACCACUGUAUGCUGAAGCUGAUGAAGACCUGCGCCACAACCAGAUGACUUCCAGUUGCAAGGAGUUGACAAAAGCUGUUGAUUGAGAUGAUGACCUUGGAGAUGACAUACUCCAAGUCUUGAGGCUAAUCAACGCUUCUUGGACUGUGGGUCACCAGCUGAAGAACAACCGACUCUCCGCUUCAAGUGACAGAGGGAUGUUUUGAGGCUAACCACCACUUUAGACUUUACGCCACAAACUGAGGACCUUCCAGAUGAUUCUCCGCUGCGGUUUCACUGUAUUUGCUUUUUGGAUUGUGCGCCACCAGCUGAACGACUAUGUCAAGUCUAUCCAUCUCUUACACGAGCUGGACCACGAUGGAUAUUGAUGCAUCACAGCCAGAUAACUCUCCGCUACAAGUUUAACUGUUCAUAUAACUGAGGAUUCACAAUGCUAACCAAGGCUUUUUGAAUUGCGCACCAAUAGCUGAAGGACUGUGUCAAGUCUAGUUAGUUGACACCCUACUGCAAGUUCAACCGCUCAAAAAUGAUGGAGUGUAUUUUUACUAACUGUAAGCGACUGAAGAAAGACUUUGUCAAGUUUAGAGCUUGAUGACUUUUUAAGAGUUUAACUGAAACAGGACCAUGAUGGCCCCUUUACUUGGAGGAGAGGACCAUCUCAGGCUUAAUCUGAAUAAGUGGCUGCUGUUAUGGCUGUGGCUGUUGCCAUGGACCUCACGCUGUUCACCAUAACGAUGAAGCCACAUCCGCU